AUGCCCCUUGCGUCCAUGCCUCCCACCACACGCCACACUGCCUUUAACUCCCUCAUCUUCGGAUGCGCGCUUCAUGCGCUCCCGGCGGCCUGCUUCGCCCUCUUCCGCCGCAUGCGGGCGGCCGGCGCCCCCUUUGAUGCUGUCACACUCAUGACGCUGCUCUCCGCCGCUCCUCAGAGCGUCGUGUCGCAGCUCCAUGCCCUCGCGGGGAAAGCAGGGCUCGCCGCCGAGACAAACGUGGGCAACUGCCUCAUAUCAGCGUACGCGCGCCGCGGUGCUGGCCUUGGCCGGCAGGUGUUUGACGAGAUGCCAUUGACCUCCUGUGACAUUGUCUCAUGGAACGCCGUGCUGUCAUCCCACGCGCAGAAUGGCCUCGCAGGGGACGCCCUUGAUCUCUACGGCCGCAUGUGUGGCCACGAUGGCGGCGGCGUGGAGCCAGACGUCGUGAUGCUCGUGGGCGUGCUCUCAUGUGCCCACCUUGGAGAGUGCGAUGUAGGCCUAGGUGUCGAACACUGCAUGCAAGAGAGACUCCCAGGCUUCCGUGCCAACAUGCAGCUCUGCAACUCUCUCAUCAACUUCCAUGCGUGCUGCAGAAGUUUUCCCCAGGCCCAACGGUUGUUCAACAAAAUGCCCAGGAAGAGCAUUGUGUCUUGGACGGCACUGAUCACUGGGUACAGCAUGCACGGGCAUGGUGAUGUUGCUGUAUAUCUCUUCUAGGCGAUGGUGUCAGAAGGCACCCGACCAGAUAAUGUCGCAAUGGUCGGCCUCUUGUCGACAUGCAACCACGCUGGAAUGUACGAGGAUGGGCACAAGUACUUCUCAUCAAUGGAGAGUACAUACCAGUUGCGACCUACACUGUUGCACUACACCUGCAUGGUGGACCUCCUUGGACGGGCCGACCGUCUCAAGGAGGCGCAAGAACUCAUUUCUUCAAUGCCCAUGUCAGCCGAUGGUGUCGUGUGGGGUGCCCUUCCACUAGUAGAAAACAGGGCUUUGGUCCAGGCCAGGUAA
This 1011-nucleotide ribosomal RNA is filed under the name Triticum aestivum (bread wheat). RNAcentral describes it as "partial small subunit ribosomal RNA". The record is from RNAcentral. Lineage: Eukaryota; Viridiplantae; Streptophyta; Magnoliopsida; Poales; Poaceae.